Molecule: long non-coding RNA, 282 nt
Filed under: Carica papaya (papaya)
Lineage: Eukaryota; Viridiplantae; Streptophyta; Magnoliopsida; Brassicales; Caricaceae
Description: long non-coding RNA (CPAP_LNC011717)
Source: RNAcentral
CCAAAGCAUGAGGACUCCAAUGUGCCAGAACCCUAAAAUUGGCUGAAAAGAGUUUUCAACACUUAUUUUAGAUUUUUGAUGUUUUUUUAGGAAUGUAACGAGUAAUUUAGAUUAUCGCAUGAUAAAUUCAAAAAACUCGAGACUCAUUAGGAGGCGUAGUAGAUAGCACGAUAUUUCAAAAUAUCGAUUCGGGUAAGAAUUCCUAACCCUAUUCUCAAUUACGUAAAUUGAGGAUUAAUAAUCGAUAAUUGUGUAUUUUAUAAAAAUUAAAAAAAAAACUCU